This 442-nucleotide ribosomal RNA is filed under the name uncultured bacterium. Its description in RNAcentral is "partial 16S ribosomal RNA". It matches the Rfam family "Bacterial small subunit ribosomal RNA", at positions 338 to 795 of the family's 1533-position model. The record is from RNAcentral.
CCUACGGGGUGCAGCAGUGGGGAAUAUUGGGCAAUGGACGCAAGUCUGACCCAGCAACGCCGCGUGAAGGAAGAAGGCUUUCGGGUUGUAAACUUCUUUUAAGGGGGAAGAGCAGAAGACGGUACCCCUUGAAUAAGCCACGGCUAACUACGUGCCAGCAGCCGCGGUAAUACGUAGGUGGCAAGCGUUGUCCGGAUUUACUGGGUGUAAAGGGCGUGCAGCCGGGAAGACAAGUCAGAUGUGAAAUCCCGCGGCUCAACCGCGGAACUGCAUUUGAAACUGUUUUUCUUGAGUAUCGGAGAGGUAAUCGGAAUUCCUAGUGUAGCGGUGAAAUGCGUAGAUAUUCGGAGGAACACCGGUGGCGAAGGCGGCCAACUGGGCUUUAACUGACGCUGAGGCUCGAAAGUGUGGGGAGCAAACAGGAUUAGAUACCCUAGUAGUC